ACCUACGGGAGGCAGCAGUGGGGAAUCUUCCGCAAUGGGCGCAAGCCUGACGGAGCAAUGCCGCGUGAACGAAGAAGGUCUUCGGAUUGUAAAGUUCUGUCCUUAUCGAAGAGAGGGUAUAGAGUGAAAAAUGAUAUACUAGGACGGUAGAUGAGGAGGAAGCCCCGGCUAACUACGUGCCAGCAGCCGCGGUAAUACGUAGGGGGCGAGCGUUGUCCGGAAUCACUGGGCGUAAAGGGGGCGUAGGCGGUUUAAUAAGUCAGUGGUGAAAACUGAGGGCUCAACCCUCAGCCUGCCACUGAUAC
RNAcentral lists this ribosomal RNA (305 nucleotides) under uncultured bacterium. Its description in RNAcentral is "bacterial SSU rRNA". It matches the Rfam family "Bacterial small subunit ribosomal RNA", at positions 337 to 633 of the family's 1533-position model. The record is from RNAcentral.